GUUUCUUCUUCUUCUUCUCUUUU
RNAcentral lists this small RNA (23 nucleotides) under Arabidopsis thaliana (thale cress). RNAcentral's name for it is "ATSL046330". Lineage: Eukaryota; Viridiplantae; Streptophyta; Magnoliopsida; Brassicales; Brassicaceae. The record is from RNAcentral.